GACGAACGCUGGCGGCGUGCUUAACACAUGCAAGUCGAGCGGUAAGGCCUUUCGGGGUACACGAGCGGCGAACGGGUGAGUAACACGUGGGUGAUCUGCCCUGCACUUCGGGAUAAGCCUGGGAAACUGGGUCUAAUACCGGAUAUGACCUCCUAUCGCAUGGUGGGUGGUGGAAAGAUUUAUCGGUGCAGGAUGGGCCCGAGGCCUAUCAGCUUGUUGGUGGGGUAAUGGCCUACCAAGGCGACGACGGGUAGCCGACCUGAGAGGGUGACCGGCCACACUGGGACUGAGACACGGCCCAGACUCCUACGGGAGGCAGCAGUGGGGAAUAUUGCACAAUGGGCGAAAGCCUGAUGCAGCGACGCCGCGUGAGGGAUGACGGCCUUCGGGUUGUAAACCUCUUUCAGCAGGGACGAAGCGCAAGUGACGGUACCUGCAGAAGAAGCACCGGCUAACUACGUG
This 462-nucleotide ribosomal RNA is filed under the name uncultured bacterium. RNAcentral's name for it is "partial 16S ribosomal RNA". It matches the Rfam family "Bacterial small subunit ribosomal RNA", at positions 28 to 507 of the family's 1533-position model. The record is from RNAcentral.